This 1703-nucleotide long non-coding RNA is filed under the name Olea europaea subsp. europaea. The record is from RNAcentral. Lineage: Eukaryota; Viridiplantae; Streptophyta; Magnoliopsida; Lamiales; Oleaceae.
UUUUUCCAUGAUAUAUAAAUAAUAUUUCUCAAAUGGCCGAGUGUUGUUGAGGAGGGGAUUUGGUAUCGGACUAAAAUAAAUUCCAAGUUGGAUUAAUAUCUAAAAAAAGAAAAAUUACACAUAAAAAAUAUUUUUUACAUAAAAAAAAUGGAAAAAAAUUUUAUCCAUCAAAAUGAAAUGGGGUGAAAAUUUAUCCAUUUGCACAAAUGAUUUUCCUUCAAAAUGAAAUGGGCUGAAAAUUGAUUUUCCUUCCCAUCAAAUUGAUGCAAAUUGACAUCACCCAUUCAAGUCGGUGCCUUCCCCUUCCCAUCACAUUCUACAAUUCAUUUUCCUUUGCGAAAUGUUAUGUGCAAUGUUGCGUCAACAUCUCGUUUCUCGAUAAUUUGAGCUAGGCCGUCGAAGAGUCUUGGCAAGUCUUCAGAUUCCUCGUUAGGCUCAUGGUUCACUUCUUCAUUAAAUGUACUCGGCUCCCCCACUUAAAUUUUUAUUUUUCACUCAAUCGAAAUAUCCACAAUUAUUACUACACGUGAAGAACAAGCGCCCUUUGUUUUCAGUGUUCAGUUCUACCUCAAAACAUUUUCGAAAUCUGUAUUCACAUGAAUGGCAUCCAUGUUUUGUUUGGCAUUGUCCAAAGUAACGAGUGGUACUUCUACAGCCAUGACAAAACUCCGAAAUUCCUUCCUCUCAUUCUAGUCAACAACUGUUCAAGAAACAAAUAAACCCACAUGAAUCCAACUGAAUUAUGAAAUCCUACAUUGGAACUUAUGAACAGCAAUACAUUGCAAACAAAGAACUGACCUAAUUGUAUUUCACUAACAUUCUUUCACUACCAUCUUGCAAAUACAAAUUCAAUAAAAUAAGGAUAAUUUUCUCCACCAUCAUUCAACUUCGAAAUUGGCCACAAAUUCAACAAGCUUUUUACAAUAUAAACAGAGAACGAAAAUGACGGUAUCAAAUUCAGCAAACUUUCCCCAAUAAAUUGCUGAAACGAAAUUAAGAAAAAAGAAGAUUUUUCAAAAUUUCAUGUGUGAGCUACACUAUUUACGAGCAACAAGCAAAAUGCCAUUUUCAAUAACAUGCUAAUAAUUUGAAGAACAAUAGAUAAUAGAGCAAGCCUUGCUAUUAUUUAAUUAGGAAUCGAAAAGUUAUUUUGCCACAAAAUUUCUGAAAAUUCAUACAAAAUCACAAAUUUACGAAGAACAAGAGAUCAAAGACUUCAACUUCAUCAAUGGUAAGGCUCCAUAAUCUUCAUACUUCAAAUAUAUGUCAAAAUAAAGAGGAAAAAAAACAAACAAUGAUGUAAACAAGUCUAAGACAGCUUAACGAUAAAUUAGCAUAAAAUAGUAAAUAACAAAAUAACUUUGCCUAGCUCAGACACGUAGAUAUCGGCGCUGCCUUCAAAUUUUGUUUCCACCUUGGGUUUCAGUGGCCUGCCUCACACUACGUUAGAAAAGAUGGCACCAGUCAGUGGAAUCGUGCUUGUUUUUCCUUUGUUGGCCCAUAAAUUCGACGAUGAAGCGUGGUGGUUUGCUUUUGCUUUUUGGUUUGGGGGGAAAAAGGAAAUGAUUUGGGAGAAGUUCUACGGGUCUAUUUUAAGGGUGAAGACGACCGGUUUCUUUUGGAACCGGGUUUUGGUUGAAAAUGAAAAGGAAAUAAAAAAAAAAAACAUAUAAUAUGUGCCAGGUCAGCCAAUUCAAAUUUCU